This is a long non-coding RNA of Alligator mississippiensis (American alligator), 2643 nucleotides long. RefSeq lists it as uncharacterized. NCBI's taxonomy places the organism in Eukaryota, Metazoa, Chordata, Crocodylia, Alligatoridae. The record is from RefSeq and is a predicted model, not a curated record. The transcript has 3 exons.
UAUUGGAUUAGUGAGAGGAGUAGCGAUUGGUCCGACUCCUGUCCCCAACGGAGCCGUUCAGCUGGCCGGGCGCAGGCGUGUGCCGCGGGGAAGUGGGGGGCGGUGUCCCCCUUUGCCCCAAGCCGCGCGCCCCGCUUCCGGACCGGUGCUGCCUGGCGGGCUCCGUUCCGACCUGUGUCGUUGCCAGCAAGAUUUCCACGGAGUUUCCCCUUUUUGAAGGAGAAAAGAAAAGCCCGUUGUUCAGUGAGAAGCGGAAGGGAUCACUUCAAGUCUAGGGGAGAGUGGGGAACAUCGCUGUAAAUGAAGUAAAAUAUUGAGCCGAGGGGAUUGAAGUGACAGUGUUAAUCGUUGUGUGCUUACUUUGGGAAAUUGAAUUUGUACAGCGAUGUGUGUAAUAAGGGUGUGCGUGUGCGUGGGGGAUAGGUGCCAUAAUUGGCAGUGAACCCACUACUGUUUACAGAAGGGGAAAUCGAGAUAGUUGUCGUCCAGACCUACAAUGAUAAGUGCAGCUCAUACAUCUAUAACAGGGGCAUUGUGCACCCAUAGCGCGCGUCAGAAAUACACUUGUGGGCGCAGCACGCGCCAGAUGAAGGCACGGAGGGGAAAUCCCUGCUGAGUGCUGCCCUCCUGUGGCCACGCCGGGCAUCGCAGCGCGGAGGUACCGCCGGGAACAAGCCAGCUCCGUGCUGCCGUGCUGUGGCUCACCCGCGGCCCUGCAGCCCGGCUGUAGGGCAGAGGAAAUAAAGGCGGCUCCGUGCUGCCCUCCUGGGGCUGGAGCGGCGCUUGGAGCCCGGAGAUGAGGGCCCGGAACAAAGCCGGCGCCGUGCCGCCCUCCCUGCGCUUCAACCUGCGCGCUGCAGCUGGGUUUUCAAGCCAAAGAAAAGAAAAUAUUCCCCUGCGCUACUUCCCUGUGCUUUAAUCUGGGUUGCGCGGCAGCGAGAGCACGAAAAGCGGCUCCGGCCGCGCACCUGUAGCUCAGGCAGGCGGGAGAUAAAGGCAGGGAGAAAAGAAAAAAGACGUGGCUCGCUCGGCCGGGGCCAGGCGGGCUCGCGCUGCCCGGGGCGCGCACACGAUUCCCGGGACAUUGAUCCCAGCCCGGGGAGCGCGGCAGGCCCGGGAUCGGAGUCUCGCGUUUCCAUUGGCCAUAUUAAGACAUGAGGCGAUUGGGUGGAGUUGCCACUUGGGCGGGAUCAGGGCCGCUCCGCCCUUCUUUGCUCUGAUUGGCCUCUGCUGACGGAGGCGGGUUCAGGCGAACGCCCUCCGCUGGCCCGGGCACCCGAGCGGUCGCGGAGCGCUGCGGCAGGCUGCUCUGACUGCCAGGGCGGGGCGGGAGGGAGAUUGCGUUCCCCACCCUGCGGGGCCUGUCAGGCUCUCUUCUGAGGCUGGUGUUGAAGCGUGAAGCUGUGUCUGUCCCAGUGCCCUUUUCUCUCCUACUCCCGCCUGCGUAGCCUCCCUGUCUCCUCGUCAUGCUGGGUGGUGGUCUAAGGGGGUGCACGUGGGCCCCCAAGAAGGACUGUUUGAAGCACCACGAGACGUCAAUUCAAUUGUACGGGAGAGUUUGGGAUCUUUGGUGUAAAAUAAGGUGGGGAUCGGGAUAUAGAUAUUAAUGUAUUCUCCCGGAGCAGCCGGGAUUUCAAGCCAGAAAAAAUAAAAACGUGUGGUAUGCUGCUCCCUUUCUUUUGAACCUGGGCUUUGCAGCCAAAUCAUGAAGACAGAGAGAAAAAAAACCCAGCUCCGGCCGUGGACCUGUUGCUUAGGCAGGGAGGAGAUAAAGGCAGAGAGAGAAGACGACCACAGGCCCCCUCGUGCGGGGCGUAAGUCGGGCAGUGCCCGCGGCGGGCACGUGAUUCACAGAUGUGGAUUCAGGGCCGGGGACCGCAGCAAGGCCGAGCCAGGAUUGGAGGCUCGUGUUCCUAUUGGCCAACAUGAGGCGUGCAGCGAUUGGGUGGAGUGGCCUCUUGGGCGGAGUCAUGACCACUCCUCCCUUCGCUUUGAUUGGAGUGCCGGGGAGGCGGGACCAUGAGACUGAGUUCAUUGUUCCUAUUCUGAUUGGUUACCGGGGACUGGUGGGUGGUGUGCGGGCUUCUGUGCGCCGAUUGGUCCGGCUCCGAUCCCCAGCGGCCCCGCUCAGCUGUCCGCGUGCGCCUGACGGCUCUGCGACCGGAUGUAGCGGCGACCACGUGCGGGAGAUCGCGCUCCCCAUGGCGGGAGCGCCCGGCGCGGCGGUGCUAGCGCCCACGUGCUGCUCCUCGUGCCCCCGUCCUUGGAGCCGGCGUGUCAGCGAGGAGCCGCAGCCACAAAGAACUGGGGCUUGGGGCCGAAGGACCCCCAGGAGCUGUCGUGUCUGCAAGGGUCGAUCCGGGCACUUAGACGGGUGUGCGGGGCCUGCAGCGCUGCCUCGCCAACAGCCGAGGCGCCACGGACGACAGGUGAGUACGUGUUUCUGCUUUGACACGCUCACUGGACACUCGGUUUCUGCCUGGACACACAUUGUCCACGUGUCCUGCUCCAGCGGUAACACCUCCAGUGACGGCAGCUCUUGCCUCUAACUGCCGGUAGCACCCCCCACAAACAGUGACCUGCACGUUGGUUCGCAGGAUGCUGGGGGCCCAGACCCCACAGAUUUUGUAUUCUCCCUGCCUG